AUUGAACGCUGGCGGCAGGCCUAACACAUGCAAGUCGCGCGGAUGAAGGGAGCUUGCUCCUGGAUUCAGCGGCGGACGGGUGAGUAAUGCCUAGGAAUCUGCCUGGUAGUGGGGGAUAACGUCCGGAAACGGGCGCUAAUACCGCAUACGUCCUGAGGGAGAAAGUGGGGGAUCUUCGGACCUCACGCUAUCAGAUGAGCCUAGGUCGGAUUAGCUAGUUGGUGGGGUAAAGGCCUACCAAGGCGACGAUCCGUAACUGGUCUGAGAGGAUGAUCAGCCACACUGGAACUGAGACACGGUCCAGACUCCUACGGGAGGCAGCAGUGGGGAAUAUUGGACAAUGGGCGAAAGCCUGAUCCAGCCAUGCCGCGUGUGUGAAGAAGGUCUUCGGAUUGUAAAGCACUUUAAGUUGGGAGGAAGGGCAGUAAGUUAAUACCUUGCUGUUUUGACGUUACCAACAGAAUAAGCACCGGCUAACUUCGUG
Molecule: ribosomal RNA, 484 nt
Filed under: uncultured bacterium
Lineage: Bacteria
Description: partial 16S ribosomal RNA
Rfam family: Bacterial small subunit ribosomal RNA
Source: RNAcentral